AGUGGAAGCGUCUGGAAAGGCGCGCGAUACAGGGUGACAGCCCCGUACACAAAAGCGCAUGUGCUGUGAGCUCGAUGAGUAGGGCGGGACACGUGGUAUCCUGUCUGAAUAUGGGGGGACCAUCCUCCAAGGCUAAAUACUCCUGACUGACCGAUAGUGAACCAGUACCGUGAGGGAAAGGCGAAAAGAACCCCGGCGAGGGGAGUGAAAAAGAACCUGAAACCGUGUACGUACAAGCAGUGGGAGCACAGGUUUACCUGUGUGACUG
RNAcentral lists this ribosomal RNA (268 nucleotides) under Salmonella enterica subsp. enterica serovar Typhimurium. RNAcentral's name for it is "partial 23S ribosomal RNA". It matches the Rfam family "Bacterial large subunit ribosomal RNA", at positions 331 to 599 of the family's 2925-position model. The record is from RNAcentral. Lineage: Bacteria; Pseudomonadati; Pseudomonadota; Gammaproteobacteria; Enterobacterales; Enterobacteriaceae.